This 16-nucleotide transfer RNA is filed under the name Pristimantis crucifer. Its description in RNAcentral is "partial tRNA-Phe". Lineage: Eukaryota; Metazoa; Chordata; Amphibia; Anura; Strabomantidae. The record is from RNAcentral.
UUACCAACCCUUUAAA